Molecule: long non-coding RNA, 761 nt
Organism: Chinchilla lanigera (long-tailed chinchilla)
Lineage: Eukaryota; Metazoa; Chordata; Mammalia; Rodentia; Chinchillidae
Exons: 5
Source: RefSeq, a predicted model, not a curated record
CUGUGGCUGGGGGGAGGGGGCGGGAAGCCAACCGCGGCCCGGGCCGGGGGGAAGGCGGAGCGGGCUGGGUGAGGAGCGGGGAGCGGCCGGAGCUCCGGAGGCUGAGCGGACGCGCGGUGGGAGGCGAGAGGCGGUGGCUGAAGCCGGGGCGUGAGCGGGCCCAGGCCUAGGACCUGCGGCGGGGACAACCGGCUGGCUGAAGGGUCGCCUUUUUGUGGGGUCAGCUUAUGGGCUGGUGCAAAGGAUGAAUUGCACGUUGUUGAAGCAGAGGCUAUGAAUGAUGAAGACAGUCCAAUUAAAGUAACACUGGCAGCUUUUAAAAUGUCUGGACAGCCAACGGGAAGCUCCUUGGGAGCUCUGAAAUUACACCACCUGUGGUCUUAAGCUUGAGGUGUUGUUCGGGACUUGUGCAUAUUAGUGGAAAGCACUUAGUAGUUUGAUAUGAGAUACUCCAGCCAAAAAUGCACAGAAAUCAAAACAGAAUGGAAAGACUCAAAACUGUCAACACCAAGAUCAAAAAUGCCGAUUUUUGAAUACCAAAAGAAUGACUACAGCAAGACUGAAAGGAGAUUGUGGAAGAUUUUCCAAAAGGUCUAGACAGUCAUUUGGAGUUGAACAUAAUGGGAAAGUGUUGUAUAUUCUGUGUAGUAAAAGUGCUAUCUGUCACACAUCAAGUGUCAGAUGGCAGGCAGUUUGAGAGCAACCAUAAAUGUGUUGUCAAAUCUGGUGAAACUGAAAGAAAAGCAUUUCUUGAAUGGAAA